AAGUAUGGUGAGGGAAGUAUUUGUGUGUAAACAUAAAAGGAACGUCCGAGCUGAUAGAUACCAGUAUUGCCUUCUAACGGAAGGGGCUUUGAAAAAAGUACGGAAAGUGCCACAGAGACGCAGUAAUCUUUGAUUUUUCGAAGAGGAUAUGAAACGUUUUGCAUUUGCAAAAUUCUCAUUAGUAAUAAUGAUGAACGGUAAACCCCAAUAUUUCAGCAAGGUGAGAUGGUGUAUUUUAAUUUUUAUGGUACUAUUGAUUUUAAAAUCACUCACUGCUCGAUUUUAUAUGCGAAUAUAAAACUAGAUAGAUUCUUCUCUGAAAAACAGAACUCGGCGUAUGAUCCAUGCUUCAAA
Molecule: RNase P RNA, 354 nt
Filed under: Candidatus Altimarinota bacterium
Lineage: Bacteria; Candidatus Altimarinota
Description: RNase P RNA component class A
Rfam family: Bacterial RNase P class A
About the family: Ribonuclease P (RNase P) is a ubiquitous endoribonuclease, found in archaea, bacteria and eukarya as well as chloroplasts and mitochondria. Its best characterised activity is the generation of mature 5'-ends of tRNAs by cleaving the 5'-leader elements of precursor-tRNAs.
Source: RNAcentral